RNAcentral lists this ribosomal RNA (275 nucleotides) under Toonapsylla cedrelae. RNAcentral describes it as "partial 12S ribosomal RNA". The record is from RNAcentral. Lineage: Eukaryota; Metazoa; Arthropoda; Insecta; Hemiptera; Calophyidae.
GAGUAGUAUUUGUUAUUUUCUUAAAACUCAAAAGAUUUGGCGGUAUUUUAUCUUUUUAGAGGAACCUGUUUAUUAAUUGAUAUUCCACAAUUUUUUUACUUUUAUUAAUAAACUUGUAUACCGCUGUCAUGAAUAUAUUUAGAAAUUAAUUUUCGUUAAUUUAAUGUUAGGUCAAGGUGCAGUUUAUAAAGAAUAAAUGGGUUACUUUAAUUGAAUGGAUAUAAAUAGGAUUUAUUAGUAAAUUAAGUAAUAAUGAAUUAUGAUUCUAAAAUAUG